GAUGAACGCUGGCGGCGUGCCUAAUACAUGCAAGUCGAGCGAACAGACGAGGAGCUUGCUCCUCUGACAUUAGCGGCGGACGGGUGAGUAACACGUGGAUAACCUACCUAUAAGACUGGGAUAACUUCGGGAAACCGGAGCUAAUACCGGAUAAUAUAUUGAACCGCAUGGUUCAAUAGUGAAAGACGGUUUUGCUGUCACUUAUAGAUGGAUCCGCGCCGCAUUAGCUAGUUGGUAAGGUAACGGCUUACCAAGGCAACGAUGCGUAGCCGACCUGAGAGAGUGAUCGGCCACACUGGAACUGAGACACGGUCCAGACUCCUACGGGAGGCAGCAGUAGGGAAUCGGCCGCAAUGGGCGAAAGCCUGACGGAGCAACGCCGCGUGAGUGAUGAAGGUCUUCGGAUCGUAAAACUCUGUUAUUAGGGAAGAACAAAUGUGUAAGUAACUAUGCACGUCUUGACGGUACCUAAUCAGAAAGCCACGGCUAACUACGUG
This 497-nucleotide ribosomal RNA is filed under the name uncultured bacterium. Its description in RNAcentral is "partial 16S ribosomal RNA". It matches the Rfam family "Bacterial small subunit ribosomal RNA", at positions 28 to 507 of the family's 1533-position model. The record is from RNAcentral.